Molecule: ribosomal RNA, 253 nt
Filed under: uncultured bacterium
Lineage: Bacteria
Description: partial 16S ribosomal RNA
Rfam family: Bacterial small subunit ribosomal RNA
Source: RNAcentral
UACGUAGGGGGCGAGCGUUGUCCGGAUUUAUUGGGCGUAAAGAGCGUGUAGGCGGCCAGGUAGGUCUGCUGUGAAAACUCGAGGCUCAACCUCGAGACGUCGGCGGAAACCAUCUGGCUAGAGUCCGGAAGAGGAGAGUGGAAUUCCUGGUGUAGCGGUGAAAUGCGCAGAUAUCAGGAAGAACACCCGUGGCGGAGGCGGCUCUCUGGGACGGUACUGACGCUGAGGCGCGAAAGCUGGGGGAGCGAACGGG